GAAAAUUUUUCUUGAAAUUGUUCCUGUUAAAGGAAUAAAUACUGUAAGGUUUGAAAACCAACAAUGUAUAAUGUGAUACAGUUANUAGAAACUUACAUGGGUCCGCNUAGACCUUUCAUCCACAAANUCCCCUGUUGAUUGACGAAUAUGUGUUUGUUGAAAUAUUUCAUCAACAUGCACAGCCCGACCAAGCUCUUGUGACUGCAAACAAAAUGAGUUGUUAAUAAAUAUUUGUAAAGUUUAUGAUUACAAAUUUCAGAAAUAAAAUGUACAAGUUACAUACCAAACGGAUAGCAUGCUCAUGCACGCUAAUAGAUCCUCUAGUGUGUAAACAACCACCCUUUUCAGAUGUCCGAUUCUUCUUAGCUAUUUCACACUUUUGUCUAUAUAGUGGCAUGUUCCACUUUUCCAGAAGAGCAUUCCAAGUAUCAUCCCCCAGCCAAUUAGGUUUGUUUCCUAGAGUUCUAGCUUUUUUAUACAUCUCUGAGAGUCUAUG
RNAcentral lists this long non-coding RNA (496 nucleotides) under Vigna radiata. RNAcentral describes it as "long non-coding RNA (VRAD_LNC009945)". Lineage: Eukaryota; Viridiplantae; Streptophyta; Magnoliopsida; Fabales; Fabaceae. The record is from RNAcentral.